GCCUACGGGAGGCAGCAGUCGGGAAUAUUGCGCAAUGGAGGAAACUCUGACGCAGUGACGCCGCGUAUAGGAAGAAGGUUUUCGGAUUGUAAACUAUUGUCAUCAGGGAAGAUAAAAGACAGUACCUGAGGAGGAAGCUCCGGCUAACUAUGUGCCAGCAGCCGCGGUAAUACGUAGGGGGCAAGCGUUAUCCGGAAUUACUGGGUGUAAAGGGAGCGUAGGCGGUUAAGUAAGUCUGGAGUGAAAGGCCGGGGCCCAACCCCGGGACUGCAUUGGAAACUACCGAACUAGAGUGUCGGAGAGGG
RNAcentral lists this ribosomal RNA (305 nucleotides) under uncultured bacterium. RNAcentral's name for it is "bacterial SSU rRNA". It matches the Rfam family "Bacterial small subunit ribosomal RNA", at positions 337 to 658 of the family's 1533-position model. The record is from RNAcentral.